This 353-nucleotide unclassified non-coding RNA is filed under the name fungal sp. RNAcentral describes it as "partial internal transcribed spacer region". The stretch from base 1 to 46 matches the Rfam family "Eukaryotic small subunit ribosomal RNA", at positions 1786 to 1831 of the family's 1831-position model. Lineage: Eukaryota; Fungi. The record is from RNAcentral.
AAGUCGUAACAAGGUUUCCGUAGGUGAACCUGCGGAAGGAUCAUUACAAUACGUUACUUCACGUAUCAACCCAACUGUUGAACUGUUUUAAAGCGUCCGAUAGGAAAGAGAUGGGUUAUGAGGAAUCGAUGGCUUUGGAAGCUACGCGCUUCGGUCGGUUUCUUUUUUCUGGUUCUUUGUGACCGGAAGCCCUUUUUUCCUAGUUCGCGUAUUUUAUUCAAUCAUUUUUUUUACCCCUUUCACCAAACUAUUAUUUUAAACAACUGUUGAACUUAUGUGAUUGCUGAAAAGCGAUCUCUUUAUUUCUUUACGAAACGUAAGAACAACUCUUAACAACGGAUAUCUUGGCUCUC